UUGAAGUUUUUGUUAAUAAGGAGUCGGACCUGCCCGGUGAAAUUUUUUAACGGCCGCGGUACUCUGACCGUGCAAAGGUAGCAUAAUCAUUUGCCUUAUAAUUGAAGGCUAGUAUGAAUGGUUUGACAAGAAUAUAACUGUCUCUUUGCAAUUUGAUAGAAUUUUAUUUCUAGGUGAAAAAGCCUAGAUUGAAUUAAAAGACAAGAAGACCCUAUCGAGCUUUAAAGAAGUUAGUGGAUGUCUGUUUUUACUUUGUAAAAAGUAUAGCUACUAAAUAUUUUGGUUGGGGCGACUAAGGAACAUAAAAAGCUUCCUUUGAAUUAUUUAUAAAACAUACGGGUAUUGAUCCACAGUUAGUGAUUAAAGGAAUUAGUUACCGUAGGGAUAACAGCAUUAUCUUUUUUGAGAGUUCUAAUCGAAAAAAGGGUUUGUGACCUCGAUGUUGGACCAGAAUAUCCUAAAGAUGCAGAAGUCUUUAAGGGUUGGUCUGGUUCGACCAUUAAAAUUCUA
RNAcentral lists this ribosomal RNA (510 nucleotides) under Punctoterebra lineaperlata. RNAcentral's name for it is "partial 16S ribosomal RNA". It matches the Rfam family "Bacterial large subunit ribosomal RNA", at positions 1832 to 2598 of the family's 2925-position model. The record is from RNAcentral. Lineage: Eukaryota; Metazoa; Mollusca; Gastropoda; Neogastropoda; Terebridae.